This 5931-nucleotide unclassified non-coding RNA is filed under the name Leishmania donovani. RNAcentral describes it as "gene:LdHU3.35.0540(CDS-product:hypothetical_prote in)". The record is from RNAcentral. Lineage: Eukaryota; Euglenozoa; Kinetoplastea; Trypanosomatida; Trypanosomatidae.
AGUGAGCGGGCGUGCACAACGAACCAAUUUGGUUGUCCGUCGCGUGCCAUUGUUUGAGGUACUGUGGUUGUUGCGUGUGCGCGCGUCGGCGCCUUUUUUUUGCGUGAAUUCGUUGCUUCUGUUUUUCACCCUUUCGCCUUCAUCACCCCUCCCCCUCCCACUCCCACUCCUCCAGUUUGCAUACCUUCUCCGCUCUCUUGAUCUCGGUCUCGCCCCAUCUUCCCGCGCUUCUUUUCUGCCGCCUUGCCUUGCUCAGCACUCCAUUCUCGGUCGCUGACUCUCCGAGAUGCCGUUUGGCCCCUCCGUGCGCAGCGACCUGGAGUGCACUGCGGUGCCGACUGCCGCUGAAGUUGGCGUGAACAGCGCAGGAGUUGUUGGUGGCGUCUCGACCUCGGCGGCUUCAUCGCCGUCGGCGGUACCAACUGGCAAUAGCGGCCGGUCGUGUGGCUCUCCACAUCAACCGUCGCGCGCGACGGUGCAGCGAACGGGCAGCAGUGAAGGCGGCCGCGAUGGGGCAACCUCCGCACCGCGUGGAUACAGCGCCGGCGCCUCCGCGACGCCAACUGCCGCUGACGCACCGCCCAAAUCACCCACGCCGCAGCCGAGCAGCCUGCCCUGCGGUCGUGCGCCUGUGUCGCGCGGCGCCUCGGAUGUAAAGGCGUCAGCCGUGGCGUUCCCAGUCCUCACUCGCGCCACCGCAGCACGCGCCUCCUCGACCCCGCACGAGAUUGGUGCCUCAGCCACCACCAGCGCAUCGUCUUCCAGCAGCGCCGUGGCACUGCCGCCGCUGCAGCCGCGACGAGCCAGCAGCUCCGCCGCGGAGUCCUCCAGAGGUGUAGGCGGAUCCUCCAACAAACCGAGUAGCAGGUGGGCAAGCCCGGAUAGGCCGAGCGGCACAUCAUCGCCUACAGGUACACGCGCUGCAGUCGCGCCGCUACCUUCGCUCUCUGUUAGCGCAGCAGGCCAGCACCCCGCUAUUGGAGCUGAUGCGGCCACCGUUUCUGAUACCACUGGCUCGCCCCGCGUGGAUGCGCGGAGUUUGAGCAGCGUGUCACCGUCCAAUGGGCAACGUGAGUCAUACUUUCGUGAGAACAACAUCCCCUCCUUAUUCAAUGAGAUGAGCGAGGCCCUCCUCGACGCCCAGCCGGAGGACCCGGUGUCGUUCAUGAAGGAGUGGCUGCAGAGACGACGAGAGGCCAUUGCGCAGUAGACAACAGAGAACUGGCUUGGGAAGUGAGGAAGGAGAGGAGGGACUGCGCGCGUGUCUCUGUAGAGUUGCAGCAUCCCAUGUGUGCUGUGAAGUGUUUUGACUGUACAAGACCAUCGCAUCACAGACCCCCACUCCACUCUCGCAUGCCUCGCGUCUGCCACUCGUGUGUUUAUCGCUCUCCGUGCUACCCCACAAGUCUCGCCUGCGUCAGGGCACACGGCAGCACACACCGUGGCGUUAUAAUGCUGUGUAACCUGCUCCCUUCUGUUUCUUGCUUUGUGUGUGGGUGUGCGAGUGCACCUCUUGGGCCACACAGCCGCUUGCUCUUGGCAGGCAUCGGUGCGCGCCCACCCCCUCCCGAACGUUGUGCGCUUCUCUUCUCCGAUGUCUUCCCACUUUGUUCGCGUGCCUACUGCCCACCGCGUUGAUGCCGUCCCCCCUCCUCUGCCAGCCUGGCCGGAGCCGCUCGUGCAAACCGAAUCCGAAGCAGGGGAAGGCUUCUAGCAGAGGAAAAGGUGAUGUCGCGGAGGUACGUGACGACUGUGAACACAAGCAGCGAGGAUCGCACACGCGCAGUUCCAAAAGCACACACGAAUCCCGGCAGGUACGCAUAGAGGCCGUCAUCGCAGAAUCGAAUCCGCACAUACACACACACAUCAAGCGAAUGAACAGCUCGCACGUCGGGGAAGGAAUGCGGCGCCGCAUGCGACAUGCGCCUCCUCUUUCUUUGUCCCUUUCUUUCUUCCUCUCCUGUGCUUUUUAGUUGCUUGCCCCCUCGCUUCAUUCCAUCCCUUCUGCUAGCCAUUCCCCUCUAUUCUAGUUUUGUUGUUGUUUAUUGCUGUCUGUUGCGAGUGAUUGCAUCCUACUCUUAGCUUACUCCACCCCUUUUUCAGUUCUCUCCCUCGCCGACCUUCCGACUCCUGCCCCCUCCCUCCCCCCCCCCAUACACAAGCAUACGUGCGGUCACACAGGGGCACAGUGGCUCCUGCGCGGGUGUGCACAACGUUUUCUCUCUUCACACUCUUCUAUGUAUGUGCAUAUGCAUCUCUCUCUGUGUGUGCUUCACAAAUUUGUUUCUUCAGUUUCGUGUUGGUCAGGUGGCGCUGUUUCACCGCCCCCUUCUAUCUCCUUCUUAUUUUCCUCAGCGGCGCGGAAUGUCCUUCUCGAGCUGCCCUCUGUUUUCACGUGUGCGUUGCAAGUGGGGGAGCUUGGUCUCGGCACCCCUGUGCUCAUCGUCUACGCAAUGUGGGGAAGAAAAGCACAAAAAAGAGGGACGAUCAUGGCAAGGGAAGCGCGAGGAGGAUGCAGCAUGUACAGACGAUGUUUAUAGUGUGCGGGUCCGCUAAUUUUAUUUUUCGGCGCAUUGCUUCUUCUCUUCCCAGGCGAGCGCACACAGUCGAGCUGUAAGCGAGCCGCAGCUGUGGGAGAGCCCCGGACGCAAACGCUUUCGAGCGUGUGCGUGUGCCGGUGUGGAGAAGUGCGGCCGGCGGCUCAUUGUUGCACCCUCAUGCCGCCCCGCCGCACGCCUCUCUCAUCCCUUUCACACACACACACACACACACACACACACACACACACACACACACACACAAACACACACUCACGCAAAGACAUCUAUAGAUAUGCGCUGGCUGGUACCGAAUAGGCGGGUGAGAUCGUCGUUGAAGUUCAGUUGAUUUGUUUGUAUCUUUGGUUGUUAAGACUACAGAAGGAGUGGGGUGGGGUGAGGGGAGGAGGCGCACAGAAAAGGCUGGAAAAAGGAGGCGUGAGGGGUCGUGUCGCCUUUUCUCGCUCUCUCCACCCUCUUUUCAUGCUGGGCUUGUUGCUGUUGUUUGUUCUUGCAUGAUGUCAACGUUGUGCUCCCGUGCGGAUGCAUUUGCUGUGGUGUGCCGCGCCUCUUUUUUUUACCCUCUCUUUUUCCUUUUGAGAGCUCUUCCGCGUCUGCGUACCGGGGGUCUCGGUGCUUGAGUGUGCCUCUCGCACACGUUGUGCACUGCAGAGGAGCAGAACGAAACGAAAACAACAUGAUCAACAGGGGAAAGACAACGCACCCCCAUUUCCUUCUCUCCUCCUGUUUCCUUCCUUUUUCGAAGGGUGUCUCGAGCUCUGCCCUUGACGUGCCUCUCUUGGCUUUCGUUCGUUCUUCGCUUUUCGCUCUUCCUCUCUCGCCGUGAUGAUGCCGGCCACCUCAGUGCGUCGUAUCAGGCCCCGGUAUACAGUCUUUGUGGGGAGGCCAACAUCCUGCAGCCUGGCCACGGGUACGGCGGCGGUCUCUUGGUGUCGGCGGGCUGGACUGGGCAGCCGCUGUGCCGAAUCGGCUUGCGGUCACGCACACGCUUGUACCAACCCUCUAUGCAUCUUGCCCACAAUUCAAAUAGUGACGCAUCCGCCUCUUGCCAAUGGCGUACGGGGUUCAGGUGUGGGUGGAGUGUGCCCCCUGCUGCCGCUGACUCGUCGCAACCUCUCACGUGUCGCGGCACAUGCGGGCAAGGCAUCCAGACAUGCCCACGGUAAUGCUGACGGAAGUAGAAGAUGCAGACCGAGAGCCCCCUCCCCCGCAGUCAACAGCGCCGUUCUGAGGCAGGCCCCACGGUCGCAAAAAUGCGAGCAUUGUGCGCACGCGCUGUCAAUCAUAGCUGGCGCGGUGCAUCGCAUCCGAACAAGGCAUCUGAAGGUCAGGGGAGCGCGAGUGAUAGUGGAGAAAAGCGCGAAGAUGCUCACGCUGAUCAGUCCCACAGCUCAUGUGUGCGGAGCAUGCGGCAUCUCCUGCAUCCGACCGGGUCGGCUGAGGAAGCACAGAUGCCGAAAGCAUGACGAGAGCACCCCCGAGUCGUGCCACUGAGCCCUAAAAACUUCAAUGUGGAGAGUCUCCACACCGUAUGACGGCAUGCCGCGGCUGGACGCGAGUGAGGGCGAAGCACGGCACGCAGGCAGGAUGUGCAGGGCCUCAGAGGGCCCUUGACCUGCGGUCGGCCGACUUCCUCCUUGAGUUCAUGCGGCAUGCCCCUAGACCACUCCUUACUACCCGCACGGCAGGUACCCACCGUUUCCGCCCUCGAGCAGGACCCUGGCUGAGACCCGGUUGCAUGAAGGCAUGCAGUGCACCCGAGUGCCCGUCUGGCGCCGACCGCCGAGCACGUAUGCUCAGAAGGGAUGAGGAAGGGCGAGAGGAGCCCGUUAGCCGCAGCGCACGAUUCGACGGCAGGACAGUUUGUCCUAGACGACCAGGACGUUAGCCGUUGGGCAGCAGCGGUCAGAUGAGCUAUGGCUGUGUGUAUGCAUAUACCUCGGGUGGCUUGUUCAUGGCUGGAUGACGGGGGUGGAAGAAAAAAACGUAAAACAAAAGGAACAUAGAUCUUCACUGUGGCGUACACGCAUCGUGACCCCUUUUUUACCUUCUCCGCCUUCGGUCUGUAUAUCUACCCGUGUACGCUUGCGCGUCUGCGUAGCUUUUCAAUUUUUUUUUGUUGUGUGUGUGUGUGUGCAUGUGCGCUGCGUUUGGCUUUGAGUGUUUUGGUAUUUUCUGUCUUCACGCGCCUUUCUUCUCCUCACGUUCCUUGUUCUCCCUCUUUCGCAGUCCGUAGUGGCGUGCUCGCCUCCGCCUCCGCCUCCGCCUCCGCCGCCUCCUACGCCCCUGUGACGUCUCCCAAGUUGUUCACGUGUAAGUGCGUGCUCUUGCGCGCCUUUGUUCAGCGUUCAUUUCUGGUCGUCUUCUGUUUCUGUGGCUCCCUCCUCCUCUUCUCCUCCGGCUUCGCUUCGUCCGCUUUUCCUUUUUCUUUUUUUUGUUUGCUGCCUAAUGCUCCUCCUACGCACGCACAAGCGCCUUCACGCAUAGUCUUUGUGCACACCCGUCUUGUCGUCGUGCACACCUGCGUGUCUUGUCGUUCUCGCGUGCUUGCGCUGUUGAUGUUUUUGUGGCUGUAUUUUUUUGUGUGUGUGUGUGCAUUUCCUCAUGCUAUAGCUGGCUUCAGUGUCUGUCUGUCUGUGCGUUCUUCGGCUGUCUUCACUCCUUUUGCCCAGUUGUUGCCUCGCUUGGCCCACCUCGUACCUUUUCCUCUCUUUCCCGCCCUCCCUCUGCUGCAGGCGUAGCGCUGAUGCCCGUGUAAUCAUGCGUGUGCGUGUGUAUUGAAGUGUCUAACUGUGCAAUAAUGCACUCGCUCGGGGCUUCCAAGCCCUCCGCUUCCCCCCGGACUUUGAUCACCCCCUCCUCGUUUGCGAGACUCUGCACGGCAUUUUCCCUCUGUCUGCCUGCUUUUUUUUGGCGCACUGUACCGCCCCGCCCGCCCUUUUUGGGCGCAAGCGCCGUUGGAUCGCUUCGCAAGGCUUCGAUUUAGGAGAGCAGCCCAUGCCAACGAUGCGACACGCACACGCACACACAAGCACACCAGCACCUUUUUUCUUUGUUUACAGAGUAGGGGGUGCUACGUGGACGAGCCCACCUCAGGUACGCGCGCGUCGCAUGCGCUCUUGCUGGCGCAUGCAAUGCCCUACCUCCCUCUCUCCCCAUCACAGAAUGAAAGAGAGGCUUUCGCGUGUCGGUGCCGCUGUCAACCCUCAUCUGUGGCCCUUCCUUCCCCUCCCUGUGUGUGUAUGUAAGUGGUACGCACACAAUGUCCACGCGGCGCUUGCCUCCGCAUCUCUGCUUCGCUUUUUUCCGGCACCUAGCACUGCUCGCUGUCCUCGCCCUCCUCGCAUCUCUCUCCGUAUUUUUCUUCGAAAAG